CCGACCUUAGCUCAGCUGGCAGAGCGCGAGACUGUAAAGUCAGAUUAUGUAAUCAAAUAUCUUGAGGUCGCCUGUUCGAACCAGGCAGGUCGGA
RNAcentral lists this transfer RNA (94 nucleotides) under Galerina marginata CBS 339.88. It matches the Rfam family "tRNA". From Rfam's summary of the family: Transfer RNA (tRNA) molecules are approximately 80 nucleotides in length. Their secondary structure includes four short double-helical elements and three loops (D, anti-codon, and T loops). Further hydrogen bonds mediate the characteristic L-shaped molecular structure. tRNAs have two regions of fundamental functional importance: the anti-codon, which is responsible for specific mRNA codon recognition, and the 3' end, to which the tRNAs corresponding amino acid is attached (by aminoacyl-tRNA synthetases). tRNAs cope with the degeneracy of the genetic code in two manners: having more than one tRNA (with a specific anti-codon) for a particular amino acid; and 'wobble' base-pairing, i.e. permitting non-standard base-pairing at the 3rd anti-codon position. Lineage: Eukaryota; Fungi; Basidiomycota; Agaricomycetes; Agaricales; Galerinaceae. The record is from Rfam by way of RNAcentral.